Molecule: transfer RNA, 85 nt
Filed under: Felis catus (domestic cat)
Lineage: Eukaryota; Metazoa; Chordata; Mammalia; Carnivora; Felidae
Rfam family: tRNA
About the family: Transfer RNA (tRNA) molecules are approximately 80 nucleotides in length. Their secondary structure includes four short double-helical elements and three loops (D, anti-codon, and T loops).
Source: Rfam by way of RNAcentral
GCCUGGGUGGCUUAGUCGGUUGAGCGUCUGACUUCGGCUCAGGUCAUGAUCUCACAGUUCGUGAGUUCGAGCCCCGUGUCGGGCU